This 366-nucleotide transfer-messenger RNA is filed under the name bacterium. RNAcentral describes it as "J002 sp003697105 Standard tmRNA". It matches the Rfam family "transfer-messenger RNA". Rfam says of the family: Bacterial tmRNA, also known as 10Sa RNA or SsrA, is named for its dual tRNA and mRNA-like properties. The record is from RNAcentral. RNAcentral also lists the same sequence under 1 other name.
GGGGGCGACAGGUUUCGACGGGGAUAGACAAGACUGGAAUGGCAUACCGCGUGGUUCCGGCAGACGCGUAAAACGGCUGGGAAAAUAGAACUGCGGACUAUAAUUUCGCAACCAACGAACUCGCCUUAGCGGCGUAGUUCCGUUCCGUUACAUCUCGGUUCGUCGGAUGUAUCUGGAGCGCCGACCAGACGAACUCGUCCUUGCCAAUGGUCUCGGAGCGGCAGGGAUUAAAUAUCUACGAGAUGCGCUGUGUUAGGAGCUUGUGCAUGGGCGACUAACCAGCUAAGUCUAAAACAUGUACUAUGUAUGUAGAAGUUCCAGUUGCGAUAUUUCCGGACGCGGGUUCGAGUCCCGCCGCCUCCACCA